AGAGUGAACGCUGGCGGCAGGCCUAACACAUGCAAGUCGAGCGGCAGCACAGGGGAGCUUGCUCCCUGGGUGGCGAGUGGCGGACGGGUGAGGACAACGUCGGAAUCUGCCUUUUUGUGGGGGAUAACGUAGGGAAACUUACGCUAAUACCGCAUACGACCCCAGGCCGGGAGGUUUGGGGUGAAAGCGGAGGACCUUCGGGCUUCGCGCAGAAAGCGAGCCGACGUCGGAUUAGCUAGUUGGUGGGGUAAAGCCCACAAGGCGACGAUCCGUAGCUGGUCUGAGAGGAUGAUCAGCCACACUGGAACUGAGACACGGUCCAGACUCCUACGGGAGCAGCAGGUGGGAAUAUGGACAAGUGGGCGCAAGCCUGAUCCAGCCAUCGCCGCGUGUGUGAAGACGGUCCUUCGGGUAGUAAAGUCUACGUUUUUGGUAGGGAAGAAACGUCAACGUUCGGUUAACGUACCCGGGUGU
RNAcentral lists this ribosomal RNA (474 nucleotides) under uncultured soil bacterium. RNAcentral describes it as "bacterial SSU rRNA". It matches the Rfam family "Bacterial small subunit ribosomal RNA", at positions 26 to 485 of the family's 1533-position model. The record is from RNAcentral.